This 425-nucleotide ribosomal RNA is filed under the name uncultured bacterium. Its description in RNAcentral is "bacterial SSU rRNA". It matches the Rfam family "Bacterial small subunit ribosomal RNA", at positions 356 to 771 of the family's 1533-position model. The record is from RNAcentral.
GGGGAAUCUUGGACAAUGGGCGAAAGCCUGAUCCAGCGACGCCGCGUGGGUGAUGAAGGCCUUCGGGUUGUAAAGCCCUGUUGAAGGGAAAGAAAACGUCGGGCGCGAAUAGCUCCCGACCUUCACGGUACCCUUCCAGAAAGCACCGGCUAACUCUGUGCCAGCAGCCGCGGUGACACGUAGGCACCAAGCGUUAUCCGGAUUUAUUGGGCGUAAAGAGCUCGUAGGCGGUUUGGUAAGUCGGGUGUGAAAACUCUGGGCUCAACCCAGAGAGGCCACCCGAUACUGCUAUGACUAGAGUACGGUAGGGGAGCGGGGAAUUCAUGGUGUAGCGGUGAAAUGCGCAGAUAUCAUGAGGAACACCAGCGGCGAAGGCGCCGCUCUGGGCCGUAACUGACGCUGAGGAGCGAAAGCAUGGGUAGCAA